Molecule: ribosomal RNA, 446 nt
Filed under: uncultured bacterium
Lineage: Bacteria
Description: partial 16S ribosomal RNA
Rfam family: Bacterial small subunit ribosomal RNA
Source: RNAcentral
CCUACGGGAGGCAGCAGUCGAGAAUCAUUCACAAUGGGGGAAACCCUGAUGGUGCGACGCCGCGUGGGGGAAUGAAGGUCUUCGGAUUGUAAACUCCUGUCAUGUGGGAGCAAAUUAAAAAGAUAGUACCACAAGAGGAAGAGACGGCUAACUCUGUGCCAGCAGCCGCGGUAAUACAGAGGUCUCAAGCGUUGUUCGGAAUCACUGGGCGUAAAGUGUGCGUAGGCUGUUUCGUAAGUCGUGUGUGAUAGGCGCGGGCUCAACCCGCGGACGGCACAUGAUACUGCGAGACUAGAGUAAUGGAGGGGGAACCGGAAUGCUCGGUGUAGCAGUGAAAUGCGUAGAUAUCGAGAGGAACACUCGUGGCGAAGGCGGGUUCCUGGACAUUAACUGACGCUGAGGCACGAAGGCCAGGGGAGCGAAAGGGAUUAGAUACCCGAGUAGUC